UGAACGCUGGCGGCGUGCCUAAUACAUGUAAGUCGAGCGCACAGACGAGGAGCUUGCUCCUCUGACGUUAGCGGCGGACGGGUGAGUAACACGUGGAUAACCUACCUAUAAGACUGGGAUAACUUCGGGAAACCGGAGCUAAUACCGGAUAAUAUAUUGAACCGCAUGGUUCAAUAGUGAAAGACGGUUUUGCUGUCACUUAUAGAUGGAUCCGCGCCGCAUUAGCUAGUUGGUAAGGUAACGGCUUACCAAGGCAACGAUGCGUAGCCGACCUGAGAGGGUGAUCGGCCACACUGGAACUGAGACACGGUCCAGACUCCUACGGGAGGCAGCAGUAGGGAAUCUUCCGCAAUGGGCGAAAGCUUGACGGAGCAACGCCGCGUGAGUGAUGAAGGUCUUCGGAUCGUAAAACUCUGUUAUUAGGGAAGAACAAAUGUGUAAGUAACUAUGCACGUCUUGACGGUACCUAAUCAGAAAGCCACGGCUAACUACGUG
RNAcentral lists this ribosomal RNA (495 nucleotides) under uncultured bacterium. Its description in RNAcentral is "partial 16S ribosomal RNA". It matches the Rfam family "Bacterial small subunit ribosomal RNA", at positions 30 to 507 of the family's 1533-position model. The record is from RNAcentral.